This is a long non-coding RNA of Chiroxiphia lanceolata (lance-tailed manakin), 6036 nucleotides long. RefSeq lists it as uncharacterized. The record is from RefSeq and is a predicted model, not a curated record. NCBI's taxonomy places the organism in Eukaryota, Metazoa, Chordata, Aves, Passeriformes, Pipridae. The transcript is spliced from 4 exons.
CACACGCACGAAACCGUUAACGGGUAUUUGCUGCAAUUCAGCGGUCAGUGGCUACAAGAAGAGGGACAAAACUGGUUCAUACAGUGGAGGAGACUUGAAAUGUCCCCAGAUCCACAGCAAGAGCUGAUGCACAUGGAUAAGUGUUUGCAGUUAUUCACAUGCAGUUCAUUUACCUGAAAACCAGCAGUCACAUGCAGUUUCUUGAACUGGGUGCAGCAGUACUCAACCCAGCAGCAGCAGCAGCAGCUACUGAGUGCCAAAGGAAAAUAAAUCAUGAAGAAGCAUUAUUCUGCUGGAAAAAUGAAAUGGAAAAUGACUCUCCUGUAGCCAUAGACUCAUGAGGAGCACAUUACAUUACUAAAACGUUUAGCUUCGUAGUUGCAAACCACCCACUAGAGGUCAGUGGUUUGGAAUAAAAUUAGCACAAGAAGAAAGAGUUCAAUUUCAUUUCAAAUGGCCAAAUCAUAUAAAAUAAAAUUUCCCCCCGUUGAGUAAGGAAAAAGUAUUCUUAAGGUUAGCAGUGCUUACCUUCAUCCUAAAGCAGAAAGCUAGUUUAAAAUUCUUAAAAACAAUACUAGGAACAUAAUAUACCAAAAAAACCUACUCUUAUUCUCUACAGUAAUAUGCAGACAUGCAUAAGAAUGCAGGACUGGAAGAAGCUUCUUGCAUCAUCAGGUCCAGUCUCCUGCUACUCCACCCGUCCUAUAAUCCCUUACAUGACCAAAGAAAGGACCAGCUUAAAAGCAGCUUGAUUCUUUUGCUUAUAAGAAAAAAUAAGAAUUACAAGAAUGUUAAAUAAGCUCGAUCAGUACUUUUAAAGUGCAUAAAGGCAGGAUAUUAGAAAGACCUGUGCAGUGCAAGAAUCUUCUUUCAAAACUAUUUCCAUUAUAAAUGUGUAACACUGCAAAGAGAAAAGGCUGACAGAGGGCAGGAAGAGGCUUUUUCAUCAUAAAGUGCAAAGUGUAUAUCCAAAUAGGAAAAAAACCCUCAUAAUAUUAUGUUUUAUUUACUCAUUUAUCCACUGCUGUAAGCAUACGUACACAUUGAUGCAACUAAACAUCUUACCUCUGCCCCACAGUGAUGUUAAAAAAUUUGAGAUAAUUAGAAAUAGAACCACUGGAUGCUCAAACACAUGCACACUGAACUAAUGCUUGAUGCUAUAACUGUAAUUUUCUAAGAUUUCAAUAUUUCUCUGUAUUAUAGAGUUACACAACUGAAAAUUCUAGUGGACAUGAAAAUUCAGAAAGUCAAUCCUAGAUUUCCAUCUGCUAUUACAAAAAAGCUGUCAUUAAUGGCUUUGAUUUAAACUUUAUCACUGAAAGGAUUCACAGUUUAGUCAGAACCUAACUGAAGUUGCUACAGCAGAAAGUAUGUUGAAAGGGAUUGUAAUAGGAAACAUCUGUCAUCUCAAAACACUGUUCAGAUUUUCUAGAUUGAAAAAAAAGUAAAUCAAAAAAUGUUAAAAUACUACAUUACAAAUAUCAUGUUCUAUGCAAACACAGAGUAGGACAAAACCCCAUGCAGUUUCACAUAUGAAAUCUUCCACCAGAUUGCCAAGAAAAAAACAUAGCAAAGCAACAUGGAAAGAGAAAUGAAAAAAAAAAAAAGCCAAGAAGCCCAGUAAUAAUAUAGACCAGAGCAUUUAUUUCUUUACUUUUCCACUAUAGGAGCUUCAAACAUAAUAGAGAAGAACACAUAAUUCCACUGCAGCUAUUUUCCAUUUUAAGGAAACCAAGAUUACCCUGUCAGUUUGUGUACAAUGUAGCAGCAUCUGAACAUGCUAUUCCAGCAGUAUUUUAAUAGAGAAUAAAUUCAAAAUAAUUUACAGCUUGAAAACUUAAGUACAAUCCAGAGGAUUCUGAUUGCAUGAAACCAUGAAUGGUGAACUGGGGUUUGUGAAAGCAACAGAAUACCCAAUAGGAUUUCCAGACCUCUUUUUAUCACAGAGAUGAACUUUUCUAUGUUCUCAUUAUUUUUAUCCCCAUUCUUCUUCCUUCUCUUUCUGUUGCAUUCCUACUUGUGUGAAAACUAUAGCUGACUUUGCUUUAGCCCUUGCAGAUAAUCUAGCCCUGCACCUUUUUUAAUUUCUGAUUUUCAGAAAUUAAUUUUCCUGGGCAAUAUCUCAACUAACUGUCUUCAUCUAACAUACUCUUCCUCUUCACAUUAGCAAAGGUCAUGAGUGAAUAUUCAUAGGAACACAUACAGCAAAUGAAAAUACCAUGAUCAGCAUUUGUUCAAGGAAACCAGUUUCCUCACCCAAGGCAGGAGUCUGAACUGUUAUAGAACUUCACUCACCUUAAAGCAAGAUAUCAUGAUCAGACACAUGGAAACUGUUAUAGACAUGAACUCAAAUUAUCUUAAAUGAAGAGCAAAGUCUUUCAUGGCUCCUUAAAAUACAAUUCACACUACUGUUUUUACAAAACCACAGCUGUAUGGAGGUAGCCAGCUGUGGUAGAAUAAAGCCCAGCUCGUUGGCACCGGGGUUGAACAGAAGUCCACUAAUAAGUGUGCCAUCACAAAUGAGCUAAGCCUAGCCCAUAAGACGAUGGUAACAUAGGGUCACAUUAUUAACCACACCAGAUCACAAUUUUGCAUACAAGUUGCAAAACAAAUUAUUAUUAUACUGAUAUAAAUUCCAAGUAAAAAAGCACAACUCAUUUUCAGUUCAGCAGUGGCACUUACUUAGGUAGUUGGAUGUAAUCAGACACAAAAUAACCUAUUUUAAAAUUAAAAGGACAAGACUCCUGCCAAAACACAGGUGUACAACUUUCUUUUUUAACACCUGCACUGAAAAUAUGGCAGUGAACAGGGCACAUAGGUAGAUUUUUUCCCACAGAACUUGGGGUUAACUAUGCCAGGUGUAAAGCAGAAUAGUUCCAAUGACUUAAAGACAGGGAUCAGCUUUGUUUUGGUUUUGACAUACACAUUAAUCUUCCUGCUUCUCUAGAAAAAGCAAAUGAGAUGCCUCAAUAGCUCACUGCAUCCUACCCUAUUCUAAACAUACACACACACACAAAAAAUCAAACCCAACACCCAACAUGCACCUACAACAUUUAAUAGAAAAAGCUGUUGGUCAGUAAAAAGUCACUCACAGAUUUGAACUUAAACAAGUGCUGUUUUGCAACACAACACUGAUAAUACUUAAAAUCCAGAAAAAAAUAUACAAUCUGAUUUCAAGAACAAAACCAUAGCCGUAUCAAUACAGAAAACAAUUUAAUUUGUUUCAAAAUAAAUAUUUGACAUACAAAGCACAUACAGUGAAAAAGGGUCACAAUAAAUUACAAAUGGAGAUACUUGCUCAUUCACUGAGAAAAGCCCUUGAUAUUUCCAAUUUCAUAUCAUCAAAUUUAUCAUUCUUGCUGAUUUAAGCACAGCACUGAACAAAUAUGGAUCCCAGUGCUUUCUUUCACAGGUACUGGUAUGGAUAAUUUACUGCAGUGAUCCAAUUUGAAAAUCAGUAGGGACCAGUAAAUCACUGCAUAAAAGAAAGAGCGAAUGAGGUGCUUUUUCCUUAGUGUCAGCAGCCUGCGAUUAUUAUGUUUAUUAGAUUUUCUUGAAAGGGCUUCACAUUUUUUCAAAUAUGCAGGAGAACUAUAUUUCCCCUCUGAGCCCUUACAUUAGCAUUUUGUGCCUCAGUCCUUGAAUACAAGUAAAAGAUGAAUUUUUCAAUUAAUUUUAAAAGUUUAUACCAUCUGGAUGGCACAGAACUAAGCAAUGAAACUCCCUUACCUGCACAACAUCUGCUAUUAUCACAGAGCUAGCUUCUGCAGAGAAGUUAGUAAGUAAUGCUGACAUUUUAUGAGAAAGAUUUUUGAAUCCACAUUUAAGAUUAAAUUCUAUUACAUUAUCCAUACUGAUAAUGCAUCUUUGAAAUAAAGGAUUGCUUAAGAUUCUGUCCUUAAAAGGCGAUUUAAAACAGCGAAGCCUGACUGCUCCUGUGACUUUAAGAAAAUUACAGCACAAUAGAAGUUACAACACAAUGAUACACUAGCCAAUUUCAGUAUAUAUAGUUUAACCAUAAUAGAUGCACUGCAGCAAUUAAAAAUUAUAGACAAUUAUAAGAUUAGCAUACCCUACUACCAUCUAGCACAUUAAGUGCUUGCCAUCUUGUUCUGUUGUAUUAUUUUUCAUCAGUGCAGAGAUGAUGAUGCAAGGGACCAUACCUAGCUCUUGCAUGUGGAAAUCAGGUUUUGAUACUGCUUUAACAGGGCAUGCUGUCUAGUUCAAUGUCUUUUCUGCCCUUAAUCUGAGCACUGUAAGGUAUAGUACUUUUUUAAGUAUUUAAGCCAGCAUAAUUGGUAUAAUUUUGGGAGCAGGACCAACAAGUCAUGUGUGGUAUAGAAACAAAUCAGUUUCCUCUGGGCACUUGUCCAACUCUCUUUGUCCUAUUUCCUGCUCUGCCAGAGCUCUUACACCCCCUCAGGAAAGUGCUCUUUUCUUCCAUGUCUCCAUUCCUGUCUGUAAAAUGGACAAGAACUACACUUCCUUAAUAAACAUGGGAUCUGUACAGCAAAUGUUACACUACAGGUGCCUAACAAAGAAACAGUCCAACACAGAUUGUACAAAAUAACCAGACACGUUAUUUGUUUGGACAGUACUAUAACAUAUAUAGUUAGCAGCUCAAAAACUGUUGGAAGAAAUAGUGGCUCACGAUUGUAAUGGAUUUUUUUUUUAAAUCCCUAAAACAUGCAACUUCAAAUAUUAACAGAUAUUGCUCACCUUAAGCAUCCAUCAAAGAAGGGAGCAAAAUAUAAAACUGACAGCACAGAAAUUACAAUAAAAGUAUACAAUUAAAUAAAAGGCGAUAAAGGAAAGGAUGGAUGUAUUGGUGAGUUACUUGGUGUGUAAGAAAUCCCAGCUGGCAUUAGCUAUUCCAAAAGUCUCCAUUGGCUCUUGAUACUUUAUUUACCUACAGGUGACAACAGAAACUGUUAUGCUGGAGCGUCACUUCUACUUGUUUGUGCAGAGCAAGGGGUGGCUCUACUCACAGAAUCUAUGCAACAGCACUUAUCUUAUGAAAGCUGAGAUGACAAAAAGCAAUGACCAGUGUGAUUUAUACCAGUGGAAACAGUUACCUAACACUAACUGGAGUUUCCAUUUACUCACCCUUCCUGGAAGCAAUACCCUUUUAAUCACCAAGCAUGUGCCAAAGCAGUGAAAGAGAGAAGCCAAAACCUUUUGGAAGAUGUGCAGAAUAGAUGUGCAAGAUUCCUUCCAGUUGCUUUCUGUGUCAGCAUUUUCAUAACUCUCAACAUUUUGUUAUAUUCCUGUGUUACUAAGAUAAAUGAAACAUAAGCUGCAAGUGUAAGCUUAAGACUGUACAAAGAAAUAUGAUAAAUUUAUAUAUAUCUUUUGUAAAAUUGGGGGUAUGACACAAGGAUUGGCAUGUGAUUGAAUCGGUCUUGCCAGUGUAUUUUAUUUGCAAUGUCCAACUCAUUAAGGACAUGAAAAAAUUGCAAAUUUAGGAAUGGAAAGAAAGAUGGGCAAGUAUUAUUUUAGUAAAUUAAUUAAAUGAAGCUUAGGAAGAUUUUAGAAAUCUUGAGCAAGAGACCAUAUCAACAAAUGGAGGAACAUGGUAAAUUAUGGAUGUAAACUUGUGACUAUCUGUAGUGUUUGAUUAUAAGUGACACAGCAGGAAAGAUUGAUAAGCACCCCCUUGCAAGCUCAGAGAAGUAUCUGAAAGUGUAUUGAUCAAUGCUGAACUCUUUACUGAGUUGUUGGUAAAUGGCGUCCUUAUCUCAUACUAAUCACAGGCUAUACUGAGGAAAUAAAAAGAGGACAAGGAACAAAACUUUCCAAAGGAGAAGUUCUGUUAUGAUGCAGGGAAUGUUAGCUCUAUGUUUGCAUAGAAACAUGAAAAGAAAUAUUUGCUUUUUAAAAUAAUAUCUGUUGUAUGAUCUGAGCAAAAAAGCCACAAAGAUGGAUGACUAACACUCGACAUGGUUCUGCACUAAUAGCUAAAAACUAAUAACACUAUAAUCUGUGGUCCAGUCGUUUUUAGCACAGAUACUAUUAUUAUAUUUCUGCCACUCAUUC